RNAcentral lists this ribosomal RNA (403 nucleotides) under Verrucomicrobiota bacterium. RNAcentral describes it as "Verrucomicrobia bacterium partial 16S ribosomal RNA". It matches the Rfam family "Bacterial small subunit ribosomal RNA", at positions 355 to 776 of the family's 1533-position model. Lineage: Bacteria; Pseudomonadati; Verrucomicrobiota. The record is from RNAcentral.
UGGGGAAUAUUGCACAAUGGGGGAAACCCUGAUGCAGCGACGCCGCGUGAGCGAAGAAGGUUUUCGAAUCGUAAAGCUCUGUCCUAUGAGAAGAUAAUGACGGUAUCAUAGGAGGAAGCCCCGGCUAAAUACGUGCCAGCAGCCGCGGUAAUACGUAUGGGGCGAGCGUUGUCCGGAAUCAUUGGGCGUAAAGGGUACGUAGGCGGAUAAGCAAGUUAGAAGUGAAAUCCUAUAGCUCAACUAUAGUAAGCUUUUAAAACUGCUCAUCUUGAGGUAUGGAAGGGAAAGUGGAAUUCCUAGUGUAGCGGUGAAAUGCGCAGAUAUUAGGAGGAAUACCGGUGGCGAAGGCGACUUUCUGGCCAUAAACUGACGCUGAGGUACGAAAGCGUGGGUAGCAAACAGG